UACGUAGGGUGCGAGCGUUAAUCGGAAUUACUGGGCGUAAAGCGUGCGCAGGCGGUUUUGUAAGCCAGAUGUGAAAUCCCCGGGCUUAACCUGGGAACUGCAUUUGGGACUGCAAGGCUUGAGUGCAACAGAGGAAACUGGAAUUCCUGAUAUAACAAUGAAAUACAUAAAUAUCAAAAAAAAUACCAAUAACAAAAACAAAUCUCUAAACUAACACUGACACUCAUACACAAAAGCAUAAAAAACAAACAAA
Molecule: ribosomal RNA, 253 nt
Filed under: uncultured bacterium
Lineage: Bacteria
Description: partial 16S ribosomal RNA
Rfam family: Bacterial small subunit ribosomal RNA
Source: RNAcentral